Homo sapiens (human) is the source of this 75-nucleotide small nucleolar RNA. The record is from Ensembl. Lineage: Eukaryota; Metazoa; Chordata; Mammalia; Primates; Hominidae.
UGGACCAAUGAUGUGAAUGGAAUGCAUCUGAAUAAAAAUUAUGAUCAAUCAGUUUUUGGAACAACUGAGGUCCAC